UGGGGAAUCUUGCACAAUGCGCGAAAGCGUGAUGCAGCAACGCCGCGUGGGGGAAGAAGGCCUUCGGGUUGUAAACCCCUUUCAGUUGGGACGAAGCUUCUGCGGUGAACAGCCGUAUGGAGUGACGGUACCUUCAGAAGAAGCCCCGGCUAACUACGUGCCAGCAGCCGCGGUAAUACGUAGGGGGCAAGCGUUGUCCGGAAUUAUUGGGCGUAAAGCGCGUGUAGGCGGCUCGAUAAGUCUGCUGUGAAAGUCCAAGGCUCAACCUUGGAAUGCCGGUGGAUACUGUCGAGCUCGAGUCCGGAAGAGGCGAGUGGAAUUCCUGGUGUAGCGGUGAAAUGCGCAGAUAUCAGGAGGAACACCAAUGGCGAAGGCAGCUCGCUGGGACGGUACUGACGCUGAGACGCGAAAGCGUGGGGAGCAAACAGGAUUAGAUACCCGCGUAGUCC
This 449-nucleotide ribosomal RNA is filed under the name uncultured bacterium. RNAcentral describes it as "bacterial SSU rRNA". It matches the Rfam family "Bacterial small subunit ribosomal RNA", at positions 355 to 796 of the family's 1533-position model. The record is from RNAcentral.